CUAUUUCAGUCACUGAAAGGUUAUGACUCCCCCGCCUCGUCACCUCACUCCAGACAUCGUUCCCCCUCGCCCUCAACGGAAUCCAGCAAGAGACGACGUGACAGUUCACCACGGAAAAAAUCCUCAAAGAAAAAGCGAUCAAGGUCAAAAUCUCCAAAGAGCAGUAAGAAAACAAAACGAAAAGAACGCAGUCGAAGUCGCAGUCCUGCCAAAAGUUCUAAGAAAUCUAAAUGAUUCAUUUCACAUUUAUAACAAGAUCUUGGAAAGUUUGGAGUCAGGAAAACAUUAAUUUAAGGACCAACUCUGCAUGAGACUGCAUUGGCAUGGAGUGAACAAACAGAUGUAACAUUGACGAGUACAUGACUCCUUAGCUUAACAAUCCUAAAUGAUACAUUUACGAGAACGCGUUUAUAACAUGGAAACAUGUGAAAAGUCAGGAAACAUUAAGAUCCAACACUACAUUCCACAGAGACCUUGUUUUUAUAUAAAGAGAACAAACAUAUUUACCAUUGUGUACACGUCCAGGUGAAGGUCGUUUAUCACGACGAUGGUAGCUUAGAUAAACCAUGGAUAAUAAAAUAAAUGGAUAGGAAACUAGCUGACGUGAUCUAAUGUUUUCAAUGGGCUGAUGGCGUGGUUGGAUGUUGAAACCUAGUUGCAAACCAAGUUCUAAAAACGGCAUGUUUAGCAAUAAUACAGUUAAACAUUUUAGUCAAAAAGCAAAUGAAUAUAACUACGCCAUUCUACGAUGAAAUAUCUAAGUAUUCCCAGUCAAUUUUAGCAAAUAUUUCAAGCACUAAACUGUGAAAAAUGCAUCCCAAAUUUCGUUAAAAUUGGGGACGCCAAUUUCGUAGCUACAAAUGUAAAAAAAUACAAAACAAAGACGAAAAACAUUUACCUUGAAUANNNNNNNNNNNNNNNNNNNNNNNNNNNNAUAUGCUUCAAUAUUACUCUUUUAAAGCGGAAAGUAUAGCGAAACAACAAAAAUGCCGAGAACUUUGCAAUACGCGUGACGUCACAGAUUGCAACUAGGUUGUUUUUGCUUACGUCAGCUAGAGUCCUAUCCAUUUAUUUUAUUAUCGGCAAAAUCUCGUAUUGCUAUCUCAAAGAAUAAUGGCUAUUGUGUUGUAGACAGCAGAAAGAACAGACGCUUUUUCCAAGAUAUGUCUUUUAGUAUCGCGUCUCACGUCUGUGAUAGCUAGUUAGAUAAAGCACGUACGGCAAAUUAUCUUACUGCCAUCAUAAAAGAUAUUGUAGGCUACAGAAAGAGCAGACGUUUUCUCAUCGGUAUAUGGAGGCUGUCUUAUAUCCUGACGCCUGUCAUACAUCGUUUGUUAGUCGCGUCAGGUUCGGCAAAUUAUUGCCAUACGUAUUACGUACUUAUCCCAAUAUCAGAAUGUUGUGGUCUGGUUGUUAUGACCAUCAUGGAAUAUUCUUUCAAACUAUGUAAAACGUUGUUCACUGCAAUUACAGUAAUACCAAGUUGACUAUAG
This 1493-nucleotide long non-coding RNA is filed under the name Paramuricea clavata. The record is from RNAcentral. Lineage: Eukaryota; Metazoa; Cnidaria; Anthozoa; Malacalcyonacea; Plexauridae.